UACGGAGGGUGCAAACGUUGCUCGGAAUUAUUGGGCGUAAAGCGCACGUAGGCGGUCUAGCAAGUCGGGUGUGAAAGCCCUCAGCUUAACUGAGGAAGUGCAUUCGAAACUACUAGGCUUGAGUACUGAAGAGGACGACGGAAUUCCCGGUGUAGAGGUGAAAUUCGUAGAUAUCUGGAGGAACACCGGUGGCGAAGGCGGCGUUCUGGACUGCAACUGACACUGAGAGACGAAAGCCAGGGGAGCAAACGGG
This 253-nucleotide ribosomal RNA is filed under the name uncultured bacterium. Its description in RNAcentral is "partial 16S ribosomal RNA". It matches the Rfam family "Bacterial small subunit ribosomal RNA", at positions 524 to 776 of the family's 1533-position model. The record is from RNAcentral.